RNAcentral lists this transfer RNA (76 nucleotides) under Tissierellia bacterium. RNAcentral's name for it is "tRNA-Lys". It matches the Rfam family "tRNA". From Rfam's summary of the family: Transfer RNA (tRNA) molecules are approximately 80 nucleotides in length. Their secondary structure includes four short double-helical elements and three loops (D, anti-codon, and T loops). The record is from RNAcentral. Lineage: Bacteria; Bacillati; Bacillota; Tissierellia.
GGUUCAUUAGCUCAGCUGGCAGAGCACCUGACUCUUAAUCAGGGAGUCCUCGGUUCGAUCCCGAGAUGAACCACCA